GUGCUCACUUCAGCAGCAUAUAUACUAACAUUGGAACAAUACAGAGAAGACUACCAUGGCCCCUGACAUGGAUGACAUGCAAAUUCAUGAAGCAUUCCAUAUUUUU
Small nuclear RNA from Suncus etruscus (white-toothed pygmy shrew), 106 nucleotides. The record is from RefSeq and is a predicted model, not a curated record. NCBI's taxonomy places the organism in Eukaryota, Metazoa, Chordata, Mammalia, Eulipotyphla, Soricidae.